RNAcentral lists this ribosomal RNA (471 nucleotides) under Staphylococcus aureus. RNAcentral describes it as "bacterial SSU rRNA". It matches the Rfam family "Bacterial small subunit ribosomal RNA", at positions 14 to 467 of the family's 1533-position model. The record is from RNAcentral. Lineage: Bacteria; Bacillati; Bacillota; Bacilli; Caryophanales; Staphylococcaceae.
UGAUCAUGGCUCAGGAUGAACGCUGGCGGCGUGCCUAAUACAUGCAAGUCGAGCGAACGGACGAGAAGCUUGCUUCUCUGAUGUUAGCGGCGGACGGGUGAGUAACACGUGGAUAACCUACCUAUAAGACUGGGAUAACUUCGGGAAACCGGAGCUAAUACCGGAUAAUAUUUUGAACCGCAUGGUUCAAAAGUGAAAGACGGUCUUGCUGUCACUUAUAGAUGGAUCCGCGCUGCAUUAGCUAGUUGGUAAGGUAACGGCUUACCAAGGCAACGAUGCAUAGCCGACCUGAGAGGGUGAUCGGCCACACUGGAACUGAGACACGGUCCAGACUCCUACGGGAGGCAGCAGUAGGGAAUCUUCCGCAAUGGGCGAAAGCCUGACGGAGCAACGCCGCGUGAGUGAUGAAGGUCUUCGGAUCGUAAAACUCUGUUAUUAGGGAAGAACAUAUGUGUAAGUAACUGUGCACAU